AGCAUAUCAAUAAGCGGAGGAAAAGAAACCAACAGGGAUUGCCUUAGUAACGGCGAGUGAAGCGGCAAUAGCUCAAAUUUGAAAUCUGGCCUUCUGGUCCGAGUUGUAAUUUGUAGAGGAUGCUUCAGGCGCGGUCCGGUCUAAGUUCCUUGGAAUAGGACGUCAUAGAGGGUGAGAAUCCCGUAUGCGACUGGUUGCCUAUGCUCAUGUGAGGCUCCUUCGACGAGUCGAGUUGUUUGGGAAUGCAGCUCAAAAUGGGUGGUAAAUUUCAUCUAAAGCUAAAUAUUGGCCAGAGACCGAUAGCGCACAAGUAGAGUGAUCGAAAGAUGAAAAGCACUUUGGAAAGAGAGUUAAAUAGUACGUGAAAUUGUUGAAAGGGAAGCGCUUGCAAUCAGACUUGCGCGCAGUUGAUCAUCCGGUGUUCUCACCGGUGCACUCGGCUGCGUUCAGGCCAGCAUCAGUUUUGGUGGUUGGAUAAAGGCCAGAGGAAUGUGGCUUCCUUCGGGGAGUGUUAUAGCCUCUGGUGCAAUGCAGCCUACUGGGACUGAGGGCCGCGCUUCGGCUAGGAUGCUGGCGUAAUGGUUGUAAGCGACCCGU
RNAcentral lists this ribosomal RNA (597 nucleotides) under uncultured fungus. RNAcentral's name for it is "eukaryotic LSU rRNA". It matches the Rfam family "Eukaryotic large subunit ribosomal RNA", at positions 37 to 652 of the family's 3401-position model. Lineage: Eukaryota; Fungi. The record is from RNAcentral.